Molecule: ribosomal RNA, 425 nt
Filed under: uncultured Halomonas sp.
Lineage: Bacteria; Pseudomonadati; Pseudomonadota; Gammaproteobacteria; Oceanospirillales; Halomonadaceae
Description: bacterial SSU rRNA
Rfam family: Bacterial small subunit ribosomal RNA
Source: RNAcentral
UGGGGAAUAUUGGACAAUGGGCGAAAGCCUGAUCCAGCCAUGCCGCGUGUGUGAAGAAGGCCCUCGGGUUGUAAAGCACUUUCAGUGGGGAAGAAAGCCUUGGGAUUAAUACUCCCGAGGAAGGACAUCACCCACAGAAGAAGCACCGGCUAACUCCGUGCCAGCAGCCGCGGUAAUACGGAGGGUGCGAGCGUUAAUCGGAAUUACUGGGCGUAAAGCGCGCGUAGGCGGUCUGAUAAGCCGGUUGUGAAAGCCCCGGGCUCAACCUGGGAACGGCAUCCGGAACUGUCAGGCUAGAGUGCAGGAGAGGAAGGUAGAAUUCCCGGUGUAGCGGUGAAAUGCGUAGAGAUCGGGAGGAAUACCAGUGGCGAAGGCGGCCUUCUGGACUGACACUGACGCUGAGGUGCGAACGCGUGGGUAGCAAA